RNAcentral lists this ribosomal RNA (497 nucleotides) under uncultured bacterium. RNAcentral describes it as "partial 16S ribosomal RNA". It matches the Rfam family "Bacterial small subunit ribosomal RNA", at positions 28 to 507 of the family's 1533-position model. The record is from RNAcentral.
GAUGAACGCUGGCGGCGUGCCUAAUACAUGCAAGUCGAGCGAACAGACGAGGAGCUUGCUCCUCUGACGUUAGCGGCGGACGGGUGAGUAACACGUGGAUAACCUACCUAUAAGACUGGGAUAACUUCGGGAAACCGGAGCUAAUACCGGAUAAUAUAUUGAACCGCAUGGUUCAAUAGUGAAAGACGGUUUUGCUGUCACUUAUAGAUGGAUCCGCGCUGCAUUAGCUAGUUGGUAAGGUAACGGCUUACCAAGGCGACGAUGCGUAGCCGACCUGAGAGGGUGAUCGGCCACACUGGAACUGAGACACGGUCCAGACUCCUACGGGAGGCAGCAGUAGGGAAUCUUCCGCACUGGGAGAAAGCUUGACGGAACAACGCCGCGUGAGUGAUGAAGGUCUUCGGAUCGUAAAACUCUGUUAUUAGGGAAGAACAAAUGUGUAAGUAACUAUGCACAUCUUGACGGUACCUAAUCAGAAAGCCACGGCUAACUACGUG